Molecule: long non-coding RNA, 287 nt
Filed under: Capsella rubella
Lineage: Eukaryota; Viridiplantae; Streptophyta; Magnoliopsida; Brassicales; Brassicaceae
Description: long non-coding RNA (CRUB_LNC000850)
Source: RNAcentral
AAGCUCCGGUAUCCAUUUCUGGCGUAUACGAGGCAGCCUGCUUUGUUGUCGGACUGUCCAAGACCUACUCAUGAAAACAUAGUAUAAGAGUCUCUCUCCGAAUCGUUUCAAGAGUUAACAUAUACAUACUAUAUACUAAUUUUAAGUACUCAAACCAUGACACAAUAGAAAAAUACAAAAAAAAAAAUACUUUAGAGUAAAGAGACUAUGUUAAAGUAAAGAAAACAAUUUUAUGCAAACAAGUUUUAAUUCCCAAUUUGAUCAACUGUGAAAUUUGGUUAACCGGG